UUUUUAGUGUAAUUAUGUUCCAUGGAAUAUUUGGAACAUAUUUAUUCUAACA
This 52-nucleotide microRNA precursor is filed under the name Pongo abelii (Sumatran orangutan). Its description in RNAcentral is "mir-1302 microRNA precursor family". It matches the Rfam family "mir-1302 microRNA precursor family". The record is from Rfam by way of RNAcentral. Lineage: Eukaryota; Metazoa; Chordata; Mammalia; Primates; Hominidae.